GUUUACAGAAAAUUUGUUGUAUGAUAUAUGAAAAACAGUUUUAUUUUGUUUAGAACAUUUGUUCCCUUUGAUAUGAUCUUUCUAAUUUUAAUUUCAAACUAAAGUUUUUCCUCCAAUUUCACGGUACACUGAACAUAGACAAUGAUAGUGCAAGUGGGGCAUCUGUGUACUAUGGACACAUUCUUGUUUGCAAAUAUUUCAAAAUCUAAAUUUAUUGAUGUUCUGGAACAUUCUAUUUUAUAUCAAAAUUUACAUUACCUCAUAAGUUUAACAUUAUAUACACUAUAAAUUGUGUUAUUAUGAAUUAUUAUAGUACUAGUGCUUCCACAAACACACAGCAUUGUUAUCUUUGUUACUGUUUUUUUAAUUAUGUUUUU
RNAcentral lists this long non-coding RNA (377 nucleotides) under Mytilus galloprovincialis (Mediterranean mussel). Lineage: Eukaryota; Metazoa; Mollusca; Bivalvia; Mytilida; Mytilidae. The record is from RNAcentral.